RNAcentral lists this ribosomal RNA (301 nucleotides) under uncultured bacterium. RNAcentral's name for it is "partial 16S ribosomal RNA". It matches the Rfam family "Bacterial small subunit ribosomal RNA", at positions 509 to 807 of the family's 1533-position model. The record is from RNAcentral.
CAGUCGCCGCGGUAAUACGUAGGGUGCGAGCGUUAAUCGGAAUUACUGGGCGUAAAGCGGGCGCAGACGGUUACUUAAGCAGGAUGUGAAAUCCCCGGGCUCAACCUGGGAACUGCGUUCUGAACUGGGUGACUAGAGUGUGUCAGAGGGAGGUAGAAUUCCACGUGUAGCAGUGAAAUGCGUAGAGAUGCGGAGGAAUACCGAUGGCGAAGGCAGCCUCCUGGGAUAACACUGACGUUCAUGCCCGAAAGCGUGGGUAGCAAACAGGAUUAGAUACCCCCGUAGUCCCUGUCUCUUAUAC